CAUAAAAAUAUUUAUUUAUGCAAUAAAGUAGGUUGCAUUGUGUAAUGUUAUGCCUUUAAAUCUAGCGCAUCGUAUAUAUAGAUAAUUUAAUAUUUAUUUUAUUUUCUAUAUUUUAUAAUGGCAUGUCGGUUUUUUUUUAUAAAAAAAAUCGGUUUUUUACUAUAAAAAAUCAUAAAAAUAUAUAAUUAUUUUACGUAGUGGACGUAAAUACUCUAAUCUAAUAAUGCUUAAAAUCGAUUAACUAAUUUUAAAAAGUUGAGACUAAACAUUAAACCUGAUCCCAGAACCAACAUAAAUAUUUAUGACGCAUAAAGAAUCAGUAAUGACAUAAGCAAAGUCGUGGAGUCAUAGAGUGUGUUUACCUUGGGAGAAAGUAGUCAACGAAAGAAGGAAGUAGACGACCGAAGAAUCCACAGGAAGAAGAGAAAGAGACCAAAGAAGAAACCGGAAAUUCGCCACGCGACUCCGCGAUUUGCCCCAAAUUGUUCAAAUAAACCAACCCGAUCGUCGCCCCACAGAAAU
This 522-nucleotide long non-coding RNA is filed under the name Linum usitatissimum (flax). RNAcentral describes it as "long non-coding RNA (LUSI_LNC005692)". The record is from RNAcentral. Lineage: Eukaryota; Viridiplantae; Streptophyta; Magnoliopsida; Malpighiales; Linaceae.